AGCGGCGCAAGGGAGAGUAACGCGUGGAUAUCUGCCCUCGGCUCCAGAAUAGCUACGGGAAACUGUAGGUAAUGCUGGAUAAUAUCUCCGGAUCAAAGGUGUGAUUCCGGCCGAGGAUGAGUCCGCGUCCUAUUAGAUUGUUGGUGGGGUAAUGGCCUACCAAGUCGAAGAUGGGUACCGGGUGUGAGAGCAUGGCCCGGCUCACUGGGACUGAGACACUGCCCAGACGUCUACGGACGGCUGCAGUCGAGAAUCUUCCGCAAUGGGCGCAAGCCUGACGGAGCGACGCCGCGUGCGGGAUGAAGGCCUUCGGGUUGUAAACCGCUGUCAGUUGGGAGGAAAUGCUAUGGGGUUCUCUCCAUAGUUUGACCGAUCUUCAGAGGAAGUACGGGCUAAGUACGUGCCAGCAGCCGCGGUAACACGUACCGUACGAACGUUAUUCGGAAUCACUGGGCUUAAAGAGUCCGUAGGCGGCUAUGUAGGUCAGGUGUGAAGUCCCACGGCUCAACCGUGGAACUGCGCUUGAAACCAUAUGGCUAGAGGGAGAUAGAGGAAAGCGGAACUGAUGGUGGAGCGGUGAAAUGCGUUGAUAUCAUCAGGAACACCGGUGGCGAAAGCGGCUUUCUGGGUCUCUUCUGACGCUGAGGGACGAAAGCUAGGGGAGCGAACGGGAUUAGAUACCCCGGUAGUCCUAGCUGUAAACGAUGAGCACUAGUUCGAGGGGACCCCCACAUCCUCUUGGACGUAGCGAAAGUGUUAAGUGCUCCGCCUGGGGAGUAUGGUCGCAAG
Molecule: ribosomal RNA, 789 nt
Filed under: uncultured Planctomycetota bacterium
Lineage: Bacteria; Pseudomonadati; Planctomycetota
Description: bacterial SSU rRNA
Rfam family: Bacterial small subunit ribosomal RNA
Source: RNAcentral